This 497-nucleotide ribosomal RNA is filed under the name uncultured bacterium. Its description in RNAcentral is "partial 16S ribosomal RNA". It matches the Rfam family "Bacterial small subunit ribosomal RNA", at positions 28 to 507 of the family's 1533-position model. The record is from RNAcentral.
GAUGAACGCUGGCGGCGUGCCUAAUACAUGCAAGUCGAGCGAACGGACGAGCAGCUUGCUUCUCUUGUUUUAGCGGCGGACGGGUGAGUAACACGUGGAUAACCUACCUUUAAGACUGGGAUAACUUCGGGAAACUGGGGCUAAUACCGGAUGAUAUUUUGAACUGGAUGGUUCAAGUGUGAAAGAUGUUCUUGUUGUCCAUUAUAGGCUCAUCCGCGCUGCAUUUGUUAGUUGGUAAGGUAACGACUUACCAAUGCAACGAUGCAUAGCCGGCCUGAGAGAGUGAGCGGCCGCACAGGAACUGAGACACGGUCCAGACACCUACGGGAGGCAGCAGUAGGGAAUGUUCAGCAAAGGGCGAAAGCAUGACGGAGCAAGGGAGCGUGAGUGAUGAAGGUCUUCGGAUCGUAAAAAUCUGUUAUUAGGGAAGAACGUAUGUGUAAGUAACUGUGCACAUCUUGACGUUACCUAAUCAGAAAGCCACGGCUAACUACGUG